Bufo bufo (common toad) is the source of this 1869-nucleotide long non-coding RNA. RefSeq lists it as uncharacterized. NCBI's taxonomy places the organism in Eukaryota, Metazoa, Chordata, Amphibia, Anura, Bufonidae. The record is from RefSeq and is a predicted model, not a curated record. The transcript has 3 exons.
CAGGGUCAGACUCCGUGCAGGUGGAGUAUAGGCUUGGACCUGUGAUGGUGCUCAUACACGUAAGGCUGGACUCUUAUUACGUUUUUGCCUUAUGUUUAACGUAUGCAAAAAGCGUAUAUGUUACAUGGAUGCAUCCGGCGGAUAUCCUACAGCGUCAUCUGUCCCCAUAGAGAUCCAUUGUAAAGAAAACCGUGAUGUGAACCCAGCCUUAGAUGGUAUUCGGCUAAACUCGCCGCUCUCAGUGCGGCUGCUGUCAGCGGAGGGAUGGUAAAAAGCCCUCAUACCCAUUACAUUUUGAGGAGAGGGGCAAAAUUGGGCAUGUUUGAUUUUUAUCAUGCCAUUUUUAGAUAUGCCACCAGCAGAGGUGUCUGACAGCCGCUUCUUUCCCCUCCCCCUUUGCCAAUACCUGGCUGAGCAUGCAUGUGUAUGGAGGAGUCGGAACAGCUGUCAGAUGAAAGAACUAUCAAAGGUGUGUCUUAGGGUAUGUUCACAAUCUGCAGCAUUAUUUUUCCAUCAAAAUUUCUGAUCCCAUUAGAAGUCGUUGGGGCCGUACCAUGGAUCCAUCACAGGUCAGGUGUGAACAGAGCCCAAGGCUGAUUUAUUUUUGUGUGUGAUGUGGGCACAGUGCACUGGCAUACUUUCUCCAACUGUAUAAGGAGUAAAGUAAAAAAGUAUACUUCAUUUUUUUCACAGUAGGACACUAUGGUUGAGGUAUGCGCCUAUACCAAUGGCCUUCAGCGGUUGCAAGACUACAGCUCCCAUCAUGCCCUGAUAGCCGUAGGAGAACUUUGGCCUAUAAGGUGGCAUUACGCCUUUCUUCAGAGGCAUGUAUCUGAAAGUCUCACUGACACGUACGAAAUUAAAGGUCUAGAUGCAAUGUGCAUUAAAUACAUUUGAUCAACUUUACUUUGAGCUGUGACAAUGAAACCAUUAGUAUGACCCCCCAAUGGGGCACUAUGGUGGAGCCCUGCCUUUAUCGCUUCUGUUUUGGAUUGUUGUAGAACAGAGCCCUCUCUCUGUGUUCAAAGUCUAUUGUGUGCCUUACAGCUGAGAUUUAUUUACCUGUAUUUUAAAAAAAUUUUUAUAUAAUAUUGGGAAUAUAUUUUAAAAAAUCUAGCUUAAUAUCUGAUACUACGUUGUGUGAUGAUGGCCAAUGCGUUGCACGCAGGAGAGGCUGGGCCUCAAGUAUUGUCUCCCAGAACAUGGCUUUGUUCAGCCUUUUACUCUUGUUGCUAUGGGUAACAAAGCUGUUUCCUAUGAGACAGUUAGGCCUUAAAGGGGUUUUCUGGGAUUUUCAUCUUGAAGGCCUAUCCUCUAGUCUAGGGUAGGCUAUCAAUAUGAGAUCGGCGAAGGUCUUACUCCCGUCAGCUGUUUCAGGAAGCCACAGCGUUUACCGGAGCUCCGUUAAGCGCCGCGGCCUCCUCUCAGCUUACCAAGCACAGCGCUGUACACUGUAUUGGGGCAGUGCUUGAUAUUGCAGCACAGCCCAUUCACUUGAAUAGGACUGAGCUACACCUAGGCCAUGUGACCAAUGAACUGUGGGAGAUCCAGGUGUUUUGUGGCCAUAAUAUGGAAGUGAAAAUGUGACUGCGUAGCCGCUGUCUGAAUGAGGCCUUAUAUUAUAAGGCCCGAAGUGUUUAUAGGUUGUUUAUUUCCUUUCAUUUGUCCUGUCUCUCUGUUCAGCUCAUUGUACGAAGUAUCACCGGUGUCACUGUGAUAUGGAUUAAGUUACAGUAUAACUUCCUUAAAUGGGUUUUCCAGGAUUACUAAGGUUUUGAACAGACAUGCUCAUGUAGUUGCUUACCUCAUGUACAUCUUCCCUAUGCUUUUAUUUUCAAUUUGGACUCUCCUGACCUGUUUUCACCAUGU